Molecule: ribosomal RNA, 793 nt
Filed under: Acinetobacter baumannii OIFC032
Lineage: Bacteria; Pseudomonadati; Pseudomonadota; Gammaproteobacteria; Moraxellales; Moraxellaceae
Description: bacterial SSU rRNA
Rfam family: Bacterial small subunit ribosomal RNA
Source: RNAcentral
UUGAACGCUGGCGGCAGGCUUAACACAUGCAAGUCGAGCGGGGGAAGGUAGCUUGCUACUGGACCUAGCGGCGGACGGGUGAGUAAUGCUUAGGAAUCUGCCUAUUAGUGGGGGACAACAUCUCGAAAGGGAUGCUAAUACCGCAUACGUCCUACGGGAGAAAGCAGGGGAUCUUCGGACCUUGCGCUAAUAGAUGAGCCUAAGUCGGAUUAGCUAGUUGGUGGGGUAAAGGCCUACCAAGGCGACGAUCUGUAGCGGGUCUGAGAGGAUGAUCCGCCACACUGGGACUGAGACACGGCCCAGACUCCUACGGGAGGCAGCAGUGGGGAAUAUUGGACAAUGGGGGGAACCCUGAUCCAGCCAUGCCGCGUGUGUGAAGAAGGCCUUAUGGUUGUAAAGCACUUUAAGCGAGGAGGAGGCUACUUUAGUUAAUACCUAGAGAUAGUGGACGUUACUCGCAGAAUAAGCACCGGCUAACUCUGUGCCAGCAGCCGCGGUAAUACAGAGGGUGCGAGCGUUAAUCGGAUUUACUGGGCGUAAAGCGUGCGUAGGCGGCUUAUUAAGUCGGAUGUGAAAUCCCCGAGCUUAACUUGGGAAUUGCAUUCGAUACUGGUGAGCUAGAGUAUGGGAGAGGAUGGUAGAAUUCCAGGUGUAGCGGUGAAAUGCGUAGAGAUCUGGAGGAAUACCGAUGGCGAAGGCAGCCAUCUGGCCUAAUACUGACGCUGAGGUACGAAAGCAUGGGGAGCAAACAGGAUUAGAUACCCUGGUAGUCCAUGCCGUAAACGAUGUCUAC